AGAGUUUGAUCAUGGCUCAGAUUGAACGCUGGCGGUAUGCUUAACACAUGCAAGUCGAACGGAAACGAUACUAGCUUGCUAGUAGGCGUCGAGUGGCGGUCGGGUGAGUAACGCGUAGGAAUCUACCAGAUAGUGGGGGAUAGCCCGGAGAAAUUCGGAUUAAUACCGCAUAAUCUCUACGGAGUAAAGGAGGCCUCUAUUUAUAUGCUUUCGCUAUCUGAUGAGCCUGCGUAAGAUUAGCUAGUUGGUGAGGUAAAAGCUCACCAAGGCAACGAUCUUUAGCUGGUCUGAGAGGAUGAUCAGCCACACUGGGACUGAGACACGGCCCAGACUCCUACGGGAGGCAGCAGUGGGGAAUAUUGGACAAUGGGGGCAACCCUGAUCCAGCAAUACCGCGUGUGUGAAGAAGGCCUGAGGGUUGUAAAGCACUUUCAAUUGUGAAGAAAAGUUAAUAGUUAAUAACUAUUAGCNUUGACGGUAACUUUAGAAGAAGC
This 494-nucleotide ribosomal RNA is filed under the name uncultured marine bacterium. RNAcentral's name for it is "bacterial SSU rRNA". It matches the Rfam family "Bacterial small subunit ribosomal RNA", at positions 8 to 491 of the family's 1533-position model. The record is from RNAcentral.